UUUAUAGCAAUAUAGAGGCUGGCGACCGGCAAACGGGUGCGGAACACGUACACAACCUUCCUUGAAUAGGGGGAUAGCCCAUAGAAAUGUGGAUUAAUACCCCGUAAUAUAGCGGUGUGGCAUCACACUGUUAUUAUAGUUUCGACGAUUCGAGAUGGGUGUGCGGCUGAUUAGGUAGUUGGCGGGGUAAAGGCCCACCAAGCCUUCGAUCAGUAGCUGAUGUGAGAGCAUGAUCAGCCACACGGGCACUGAGACACGGGCCCGACUCCUACGGGAGGCAGCAGUAAGGAAUAUUGGUCAAUGGACGCAAGUCUGAACCAGCCAUGCCGCGUGAAGGAUGAAGGUCCUCUGGAUUGUAAACUUCUUUUAUAGGGGGCGAAAAAAGGUUUUUCUAAAUCACUUGACAGUACCCUAUGAAUAAGCACCGGCUAACUCCGUGCCAGCAGCCGCGGUAAUACGGAGGGUGCAAGCGUUAUCCGGAUUCACUGGGUUUAAAGGGUGCGUAGGCAGGUAGGUAAGUCAGAGGUGAAAUCCUGGAGCUUAACUCCAGAACUGCCUUUGAUACUAUCUAUCUUGAAUAUGGUGGAGGUAAGCGGAAUAUGUCAUGUAGCGGUGAAAUGCAUAGAUAUGACAUAGAACACCUAUUGCGAAGGCAGCUUACUACGCCUAUAUUGACGCUGAGGCACGAAAGCGUGGGGAUCAAACAGGAUUAGAUACCCUGGUAGUCCACGCCCUAAACGAUGAUUACUCGACGUAUGCGAUACACAGUAUGCGUCU
Molecule: ribosomal RNA, 777 nt
Filed under: uncultured bacterium
Lineage: Bacteria
Description: bacterial SSU rRNA
Rfam family: Bacterial small subunit ribosomal RNA
Source: RNAcentral